RNAcentral lists this long non-coding RNA (410 nucleotides) under Zonotrichia albicollis (white-throated sparrow). RNAcentral describes it as "lncRNA (ENSZALG00000005906.1)". Lineage: Eukaryota; Metazoa; Chordata; Aves; Passeriformes; Passerellidae. The record is from RNAcentral.
CUGCAAGCAGUACGUCUCUGCUGAGGAGCUCUGUGACCAGCUGUGCCUGCUGAGAGCCCCACGCAUCUCCCUGGCCUUUGGCACCCACAGGGAGCUGCUGCUGAGGGUGGGCGAGGGCCAAGUGAGGGAGGUUUCAAAUGUUCUGGGCCCUGAUGAGCACCUACAGAGCAGCCAAAGGGUGCAUUUGGUUCUGUUCAGCCCCCAGGGAGUGCUGGGUUUCAUUGUCUCCAGCACAGAAGUUCUGGAUGCAUUUCUCAUGGGAGAUUUUUCCUCAGAUCAGCUGCUGCAGAAAGGGCCCAGAGCCCAGAGGAGCUCCCCCAGAGAGAGCCAGGCCUUGCCCCUCAUCCCUAACCCAGUGGUGUGUCUGGAAGCAGGGGACACGAUCCUCUUCCAGCUCAGCAUCAAUUCCC